AACUAGGGGCUACUGGUAGGCUUGAUACAUGCAGUCCGGAGAGAGGUUGCGUUCGGGCAGCACGUACCGGCGAAUCGGGUGCGUCGCACGUAUGCAACCUACCUAUGACUGGGGGAUAGCCCGAAGAAAUUCGGAUUAAUACCCUAUAAUAUUUACUACUCGCAUGAGUUGGUAUCUUAAAACUCCGGUGGUUAUAGAUGGGCAUGCGGCCUAUUAGUUUGUUGGUGAGGUAACGGCUCACCAAGACUACGAUAGGUAGGGGUUCUGAGAGGAUGAUCCCCCACACUGGUACUGAGACACGGACCAGACUCCUACGGGAGGCAGCAGUAGGGAAUAUUGGUCAAUGGACGCAAGUCUGAACCAGCCAUGCCGCGUGCAGGAAGACGGCCCUAUGGGUUGUAAACUGCUUUUAUA
This 414-nucleotide ribosomal RNA is filed under the name uncultured Bacteroidota bacterium. Its description in RNAcentral is "bacterial SSU rRNA". It matches the Rfam family "Bacterial small subunit ribosomal RNA", at positions 35 to 440 of the family's 1533-position model. The record is from RNAcentral. Lineage: Bacteria; Pseudomonadati; Bacteroidota.